Molecule: long non-coding RNA, 1291 nt
Filed under: Pan paniscus (pygmy chimpanzee)
Lineage: Eukaryota; Metazoa; Chordata; Mammalia; Primates; Hominidae
Description: lncRNA (ENSPPAG00000045618.1)
Source: RNAcentral
UAGUGUGUCAAUUGCCUGGUUCUCCACUGACAGCUAAAAUUAAACAAAAAAGUGAAUUCCGUUCUACAGUGUGAACAUCUUAUGGGAACACUAGAGGAUAUCCAUAGACAGCAGAAAAAAAAUAGCAAAAUAGAUAUUUUGACUCACAGAAAAUGAAUGUUUGCAAAGAUUCACCAAGAAAUAAAGUCAACCAAAAAAGCAAAGUCAUGGAAAAGAAUUUUUCAUCCAGUGACUACCAAAUGGAGGAAUUAUCGUCUUGAAGGGGAACGUAUCAAUCACUUAAGGAAACUAGAUGGGAGACUGAAGGUGGCAAAAGGAGAGGCAUAGCAAAUGGAAGAAGGUGUCCUAGAGUCACUCUUAAACUUUGAGAAGUUUGAGAUAUUAGGUUGGUGCAAGAGUAAUUGCAGGUUUUACCAUUACUUUUAAGAGCACAAGGACCAAACAUAUGAAUAUUUACACUAAAAAAUAAACUAGAGUUGCUUCAUCUAAGACUACUGUAAAUGCUUUUCUCCCAUUAAUCUUAAUUUGAAAAAGGAAAAAGAGAUAGUGAUGUUUACCAACCUCUCAACAGGAUUCAUGAAAGACACCUGGGAAUCUGACUGGGAAGAUAUUCUUACCCUACGGCUGGCGUGUCAGAUCCUGGGUUCCCUUGAUGUGACAUCCAGAGGAGCAGAGUGGUUUUGGUUAUCCUGCUCUACAACAAAACUGUAGAGCUUUCUGUAUCCUGCAGUACAACAAAACUGCAGAAGCCAAGGGGAAACUUCCCCUUCGCCUUCUGAAGGCUCACUGAAAAUCAGCUGACAAACAGCCCAUUAUUAGGAGAAAAGCCAAACAAAAUUUAUUAUUGCACACACAUGUGCAUGGAAGUAAUACAAAAUGUGAAAACUCAAAGAAAGGGCCAGGUGGUUAACGCCAUUACACCAUCUUGAGAUUAUAGAAAAAACAUGGGCUUGGAGUGUGGCAAGACGGUUAUAGGAGGGAGAAAGGCAGGCAUGGGGCAAAGGUGGGCUUGUUGUGUACAUGAAACCUCACAGACAGCAGCUCUCAGAAAAAAAGAGAUGGUAGUUUGUGGUUGAGUACAUCUUUUCUAGAUCUGGAUAAGGGGGAGGGCCUCAGAGAAAGUCUGGGUAUUUAUUUCACUAACGUGGAUUUUUCUCUACAGAUGCAAAUUUCUUCCACAAAAGGCAGCUUUUCAGGGCUAUUCCUGUCCGUAGGCCCUCUGAAUAACCCUCUUGAAAUAUGUCACUGAAGUAUAUUUUGGAGUGAAAUAUUUUUGUUUUCCUUUAUUGGC